AGUCGUAACAAGGUAUCCGUAGGUGAACCUGCGGAUGGAUCAUUAUAGGAUGUUGGGUGAUUGUGAGUGGUUUUAUUAUUAGUAGUUUGAGCGGUGUUGGUUGGGGUGCGAAGCAGGAUUGCCAAGCAGGACAGCCAAGCAGGAUUGCCAAGCAGGAUUGCCAAGCAGGAUUGCCAAGCAGGAUUGCCAAGCAAGACAGCCAACAUCGCCUCACGUUAAACUCUAUAAAUCUAACAAUUGCAUACAAAAAAAACAACUUUUAGCAACGGAUCUCUGGGCUCUC
This 283-nucleotide unclassified non-coding RNA is filed under the name fungal sp. RNAcentral describes it as "partial internal transcribed spacer region". The stretch from base 1 to 45 matches the Rfam family "Eukaryotic small subunit ribosomal RNA", at positions 1787 to 1831 of the family's 1831-position model. Lineage: Eukaryota; Fungi. The record is from RNAcentral.